ACGGAGGGUGCAAGCGUUAAUCGGAAUAACUGGGCGUAAAGGGCACGCAGGCGGUGACUUAAGUGAGGUGUGAAAGCCCCGGGCUUAACCUGGGAAUUGCAUUUCAUACUGGGUCGCUAGAGUACUUUAGGGAGGGGUAGAAUUCCACGUGUAGCGGUGAAAUGCGUAGAGAUGUGGAGGAAUACCGAAGGCGAAGGCAGCCCCUUGGGAAUGUACUGACGCUCAUGUGCGAAAGCGUGGGGAGCAAACAG
This 251-nucleotide ribosomal RNA is filed under the name uncultured bacterium. RNAcentral describes it as "partial 16S ribosomal RNA". It matches the Rfam family "Bacterial small subunit ribosomal RNA", at positions 525 to 775 of the family's 1533-position model. The record is from RNAcentral.